RNAcentral lists this ribosomal RNA (459 nucleotides) under uncultured bacterium. RNAcentral describes it as "partial 16S ribosomal RNA". It matches the Rfam family "Bacterial small subunit ribosomal RNA", at positions 338 to 795 of the family's 1533-position model. The record is from RNAcentral.
CCUAGGGAGGCAGCAGUGAGGAAUAUUGGUCAAUGGACGAGAGUCUGAACCAGCCAAGUAGCGUGAAGGAUGACUGCCCUAUGGGUUGUAAACUUCUUUUAUAUGGGAAUAAAAUGUUCCACGUGUGGGACUUUGUAUGUACCAUAUGAAUAAGGAUCGGCUAACCCCGUGCCAGCAGCCGCGGUAAUACGGAGGAUUCGAGCGUUAUCCGGAUUUAUUGGGUUUAAAGGGGGCGUAGGUGGAUUGUUAAGUCAGUUGUGAAAGUGUGCGGGUCAACCGUAGAAUUGCAGUUGAAACUGGCAGUCUGGAGUACGGUAGAGGUGGGCGGAAUGCGUGGUGUAGCGGUGAAAUGCUUAGAUAUCACGAAGAACUCCGAUUGCGAAGGCAGCUCGCUGGACUGCAACUGACACUGAGGCUCGAAAGUGUGGGUAUCAAACAGGAUUAGAUACCCCAGUAGUC